RNAcentral lists this ribosomal RNA (165 nucleotides) under Halenia coreana. RNAcentral's name for it is "Halenia sp. SMH-2019 5.8S ribosomal RNA". The stretch from base 45 to 165 matches the Rfam family "5.8S ribosomal RNA", at positions 1 to 121 of the family's 154-position model. From Rfam's summary of the family: 5.8S ribosomal RNA (5.8S rRNA) is a component of the large subunit of the eukaryotic ribosome. It is transcribed by RNA polymerase I as part of the 45S precursor that also contains 18S and 28S rRNA. Lineage: Eukaryota; Viridiplantae; Streptophyta; Magnoliopsida; Gentianales; Gentianaceae. The record is from RNAcentral.
GCGGAGUGCACGAGAGGGCAACAGGCACCUGAAGAAUCUAAAACGACUCUCGGCAACGGAUAUCUCGGCUCUCGCAUCGAUGAAGAACGUAGCGAACUGCGAUACUUGGUGUGAAUUGCAGAAUCCCGUGAACCAUCGAGUCUUUGAACGCAAGUUGCGCCCGAA